UAUUUCAAUGGAGCAGAUUGUCGGAGCUACACUUCUUCAAGUGUAUAUCAGUUACCUUCACUUGGUGCUGUGUGGUCAAGAAGCAGUGAUGCCACUUCACAACCUUCUUGUGCAUGCUUUAGGCCAGGAGUGCUGAAAACGAGGAGCACUUUGUUGUGGAGCAUCAGGCCAGGAGUAUGUGGUGGACCACAGGGAGACUGAAAACAUAGUAAGCAUGAUGGAAGCUUGCUGGAGAGUGCCUGUAGAGAUUCCUUCUCCAACACACCCACUGCAUUCGGAAGCUCCAUGAGGGAAGAACCAGUCUUGGUUCUAAACAAUUGCUCAAUGUGGUGAACAACAUCAUAGGCUUCUCUGGAUGGAUGGCAAAGGGAACCUGACUUGAACUCUUUAAACUGUAACAACAUGCUCUUUUCUCCCACAGGAUUGUCAUCACGCUGCUGUGAUGCAGUUUUGCAUUCUUCACAGAUGCUGGCAAAUUUGAUGAUCUUGUGGACAAUGUAGCCUGCAAGAUGGAAAAGAAUGCAUUGUUCUGUCUUUGUAAUGUCAUGUGCUUCUCCACUCACCACUGUCAGUUGUUCCACUCUAACUGAUGGAGUGACAUUUUUCUCCACUCUGUCCAGGAAGUCUGCCAAAAAGCUACUGUCAUCCUCCUGGUAGCUGCCCGAUUUGAUGAUGGUGAGGAACUGCCCCACAGAUAUAAUUCUGAGAGCAUGGUGGAACUCCACUGGAGUUGGCACAGGAUUUUUUGACCUCACACAGCUGAAUGUAUUUUCAAUGCAGUCUUGUGUGAACCUUGAUGUUAAUACAAACCUGUGUCCUCUCGCCAGCAUCUCCUCCUGUAUGGCCAGAAUUGAUGUUGUUGCCAUUAUCACUCCUGACUGAGCAGGCUUCCACCAUCCCUUUGGACCAAUCUUCAUGCCACGAAACAAAUGGACAAUU
Molecule: long non-coding RNA, 939 nt
Organism: Melanotaenia boesemani (Boeseman's rainbowfish)
Lineage: Eukaryota; Metazoa; Chordata; Actinopteri; Atheriniformes; Melanotaeniidae
Exons: 4
Source: RefSeq, a predicted model, not a curated record